This 253-nucleotide ribosomal RNA is filed under the name uncultured bacterium. RNAcentral's name for it is "partial 16S ribosomal RNA". It matches the Rfam family "Bacterial small subunit ribosomal RNA", at positions 524 to 776 of the family's 1533-position model. The record is from RNAcentral.
UACAGAGGUCUCAAGCGUUGUUCGGAAUUACUGGGCGUAAAGCGCGCGCAGGCGGUUUUCCAAGUCAGUGGUGAAAGCCCGGGGCUCAACUCCGGAACUGCCAUUGAAACUGUUAAACUUGAGGACGAGAGAGGUGAGUGGAAUUCCCAGUGUAGAGGUGAAAUUCGUAGAUAUUGGGGAGAACACCAGUGGCGAAGGCGGCUCACUGGCUCGUAUCUGACGCUCAGGCGCGAUAGCGUGGGGAUCAAACAGG